GACUGCUCAGACGGGUGAGGGCAUUCAUAGCCGACUGCUCAGAUGGGGGAGGGCAUUCAUAGCCGACUGCUCAGAUGGGGGAGGGCAUUCAUAGCCGACUGCUCAGAUGGGGGAGUGCAUUCACAGCCGACGCUCCGACGUGCGAGGUCAUUCACAGCCGACCGCUCAGACGGGCGAGGGCAUUCACAGCCGACCACUUUUACAUGGUCCUUCUAGACGGAUUUAGUGACCAACAGUUUUUUACAGUGUUUAUGUUCUAAAAGGAUAUUCUCUGUUGUCUAGGCUGUCCAUCAUGUCAAAGAGCUGCUGUGCACAGGUCUUGAUGAGCUCAUCCAGACUUUCCUCCACCGUCUUCAGGUUCUGCAGCUCCCGCUAAAACCUCUGCUUCGGCCCCACAAAACUGGUGACUGGACACGGACCUCU
This is a long non-coding RNA of Oncorhynchus tshawytscha (Chinook salmon), 423 nucleotides long. The record is from Ensembl. Lineage: Eukaryota; Metazoa; Chordata; Actinopteri; Salmoniformes; Salmonidae.